RNAcentral lists this ribosomal RNA (426 nucleotides) under uncultured Prosthecobacter sp. RNAcentral's name for it is "bacterial SSU rRNA". It matches the Rfam family "Bacterial small subunit ribosomal RNA", at positions 355 to 774 of the family's 1533-position model. The record is from RNAcentral. Lineage: Bacteria; Pseudomonadati; Verrucomicrobiota; Verrucomicrobiia; Verrucomicrobiales; Verrucomicrobiaceae.
UGGGGAAUUUUGGACAAUGGGGGCAACCCUGAUGGAGCGACGCCGCGUGGAGGAUAAGGUCUUCGGAUUGUAAACUCCUGUCAUGCGCGAACAAGGUUGCAGGGAUAAUACCUUUGCAAAUUGAUGGUAGCGCAAGAGGAAGAGACGGCUAACUCUGUGCCAGCAGCCGCGGUAAUACAGAGGUCUCAAGCGUUGUUCGGAAUCACUGGGCGUAAAGGGUGCGUAGGUGGCAUGGUAAGUCAGAUGUGAAAGCCUGGGGCUCAACCUCAGAAUUGCAUCCGAUACUGCUGUGCUAGAGUACUGGAGGGGUGACUAGAAUUCUCGGUGUAGCAGUGAAAUGCGUAGAUAUCGAGAGGAAUACCAAAGGCGUAGGCAGGUCACUGGACAGUUACUGACACUGAGGCACGAAGGCCAGGGGAGCAAACG